ACUUUUGUUAGAAUAA
This 16-nucleotide transfer RNA is filed under the name Diamesa zernyi. RNAcentral's name for it is "partial tRNA-Leu". The record is from RNAcentral. Lineage: Eukaryota; Metazoa; Arthropoda; Insecta; Diptera; Chironomidae.